Non-coding RNA from Podarcis lilfordi (Lilford's wall lizard), 2740 nucleotides. NCBI's taxonomy places the organism in Eukaryota, Metazoa, Chordata, Lepidosauria, Squamata, Lacertidae. The record is from the annotation of a GenBank genome assembly.
UAGCACCCAAAUCUUAAACUAUCCCGUGGUCUACUGUAAGUUUAUUCAUAGACUGAUGACUGCUUCCAGGCAUUUCUCUAAUUAUUCUAUAGCAUUUCUUCACAUUGGACUGUUAAAGGUAAACACACAAGAUGAAGUGAAGCUUAGAUUAAAAAUGAGUACCUAGAGCUCUAAGUUUAAACUACUUAAUAGUUUAUCUCACUUUGAAUUUUUUAAAAAGUUGAAUCAUUUGCCACUGAUUCCAGCUACCCGUACAAUGCUUCAUUAGUUUGGUUUUUGAGGCCAUGUAAAUACCCGACCCUGAAAUUCAGACUAAGUAAGCCUAUCAGCAAACUCCCUGUGUUACACUCAAGAUUUGCUUCUAAAAUCUUCAGCAUACUCUAGUAUUAACGGGGUGUUCAGAUGUGACUUGUCAUGUACUGUACUCAAAGGUUCAUUGAUCAGUGACUGUAUUGUACUGUAUGAAUAAUCAUAAAUUGCCUUGUAUUGUUUAUAAUAAGACUGUACUAAGUACCACACAGAUUUCCAUGUUCCAAGUUUGUCGGCAAAGCAUGUGGGCAGUUAGGUCCUGAAACUAUGUGGUGCUAACUCUUACAUAUCUAAUGGUGCUUUUGUGGAUGCUAACUGCUGACAUGCUGGGGAGAAAAAAAGCUUGAAGUUGAAAAGUGUCUCAUCCGUUCGUAAAAGUAAAAAACAACCAUGAUUUAAACUUGAAUUGUUUCACAGUACCAUUGACAAUCCGGUGUUUUAUAUGUGUGUACUUUUUAUUGGGUUUUCAGAUGAUUCUUCAAAAAGCAGCUCCCCCAUUUCUCCUAUAAAUGGAUUUGUAUUUGACCCAGGCAAUAGCCUUUUCAUGUUGACUGCUUAUCCCUGCAUCUCUGUUUGAAUCCGGUGAAUAUUCAGCCUGCUUAUGUAUUUUCAGGGGGGUGGGCAGGGGAAGUCACAUGAGAUGUUCUUAUUCACACAGUCAUUCCAGAAGAGUAAGGCAGUUUCUUCUUAAAAAACACUUAUACUGAGGCCAGAUCAUAUAUAUUCUAGAACAAUUAACCAUUGGGUCUGAUCAUCCUGCUUAUUAUGAACCAUAAAGCUGUUUCAUACAUUGUAGUCAAAUAUGACUGAAUAAACACUUAAAAGGAAGCUGAAACCAAUCAUGGCUCUUUGCCUAGUGUACCUGUAUAACACGUUUAUUUGCUGCAAUCACGUGUAACAUUUUUAGAUGUACAUAUAAAUUGUACAUCUUAAAAUAUGCCUGCAAGUAGAAGCGGAAUGAUAAAAGUGAAUCAAACCAAAGUUUUCAGAGGUUGAGAGUUUAAUGAAUAAUAAAAUCAUGUCUCUAGAGGUCUAAUGAAGGCAAAAUGGAGCAAAGCUUAAUUUUCACAUCAAACGACGUGCUUUAAUGCUGCUCUGUAUCCAUUUAUGUGAAAAGCUGCACAUACCUGUAGUGGUGUUCAAACAUCUAUGAAGGGGGGAGCAUAAUUCUGUUUCCCACAUGAUCUUAUUUCACACAAGAAUGGGAAUUGCCUGAUGACAUGAAUUGGCCUGUUGGUGAUCGUUAUAUAGGCUCUACAAUUUAUAGAAUCCUGGCAAAUCAAAAUACUGUAGUUCUGUUCUUUUACAGUUCACCUACACUUCGAAGAGAUGGGAAUAUUCCUUGUCUGCCAGCAGUGUACUUACUACUUUUUAAAUAAAAUGAAUAGAAUUGCUCAAUUUUAUCUCAAAUACUAUAAGGGAGAUCGCAACACGUUAAAAACCAAACAACUCUUACGGCUCUGGAAUAAAACCUGCCCCCAAUUCCAAUUUUAACCCACUCAGGACUCCAGGUUUAAAUGACCAUCAAUUGGACAUACUAUUGUACAACUAACUCUGUUUCCAAGUGUAAUUAAGAGGGUGGGGGUGGGGUAGAUAGCACAAAGCAUUGUGAAUGUGGAUUCAACAAAGAGGCAGAGAAGUAAUAUCCCUAGAUUGUGUGAGGGGGAAAGAGAGGAGGUAAUGUCCAAACCCUGGUGCAAAUAUAAUGGCAUCAAGUUAACUUCAGAAAUACUUAAAACACCUCUAAAAGUACAGUAGUAUAUGCCAUGCGUAAUGUAGACUAAAUUCUGCACUGUACCAUUUCAGACAGGAGGUAAAAGGUAAGUUGCUUUUUUUUUUUAAUGCUACCUCGUGUAAAAAAAAACAACUCCCUGGUAACUUGUCUUGCCAAGGAGAAAGGCAUGCUGUAUGCUACAUGUAGGAAGUUACCUUUGUAAAAAAAUUCAUAUUUUUUAUUUACUCAUACAGGGGAGCAUUCAAAGAUACAUUUCUCCCCACCUGUUGUCUUCAACUGGUACCGUCCAGAAAUAAAGCACCACAUUCUUCAUCGUAUGUAAAAAAACCACACAUUCCUUACUCUGUGAAAGAUGAUGUCCAGUUAUACAUGUCUCCUUAUGAGGUGUCUGGAUAGGUACCCAAAGGAAGAAAACUCAUCACUUAAAAAAACAAAAAAAAAGCCAAAGUGUUUCCUGCCUCCAUUGCCACUGCUCUUCCUUGCAAACAUAUUUGUCAUACCGGAUUUCCUAAAUUUUUUUGCUAGAAUAUAUAUUUUUUAAAAAAUACUGAGCUGCUUUUUGGAGGAAUAUUCAUAUAUAGAUAUAUAUAUAUUUGUCAGUUUGACAAGUCUAUUUGCCCCAUUAUCAACUGAAUUUACAUGUUGUUUGCCACUGUUUGUUCUGUCUUACAAUAAAUUGCUUACUUGUGUAGUCUU